Molecule: long non-coding RNA, 1223 nt
Organism: Alosa alosa (allis shad)
Lineage: Eukaryota; Metazoa; Chordata; Actinopteri; Clupeiformes; Clupeidae
Exons: 4
Source: RefSeq, a predicted model, not a curated record
CAGCAACAUGUUUUGUGUGCAUAUGCUUUAAAAAUACAACUAUGUUGUGAAUGUAGCUUAUUUCAUGUUUAUCUUUCAGCACAUAUUCAGCCAACGGAUGCUCUACGGAAGGAGAAGAAACCCAUGAUUAACACAGGAUGGAUGGGCUGUGUGACUUCUUGGGGUUGCGGAAUGUACUGGAGGAAACCAUACAGCAACUAGAAAAGGAUAAGAUUGAUCCCAAUGUCCUACUUGUCAUGACAGAUGCCCAGUUAACUACGUAUCUACCAUCCUAUGGGGACCGACUGGCUGUCCUUGGGUAUUGCAGACGGAAGGGAAAUUGUCCUGUUGCCCGCCAAUCUAAACUUUUUGAGCGACUGAAACCAAGAUAUCAAGAAGUGGGGAUCGUGAACAUUUGUCUGAGAAGCAGUGAUCUGGACUUCAUUGGCUUGAAGCUCAACCCAUUCACUCACUCAAAAAUGCUGAGGAAUCUUUUCCUUCGACAUUGAGGUCGUUCUUAUAGACCUCCCUUAGCUGUUGCUUCCAAAAUGGUGUCAGCGUCUUCAUCAAACUGGAGCCACUCCUCCUUGCAAGCUUGGGGCCACUUAACAGUGUUCUGUGGAUCUGUAUGGUUCCGGGGCAUGUGUCACCUGGAGGUUCUGAGCUCUGUGGGGGGGACUUCUGGUAUGGCUCCUCCUACGUCUCACUGCACAGAGGUAGUCCCUGUGUGUUGACACCUGCACCAUCUACAUUUCCUGCGGAUCUUCAGGCCAUGGGUUUUACACACCUUGCCAGUCAAUACUCUUUUCUUCUUUGAAUCAUUAUUGGUGAAAUGAUUGAACUACUACUGUGCUUUGUUCUAGCGAGUCUUGUACUGUGCUUUGUUCUAGUUUUGGGAUCUUCAAAAAGUGCCUAAAGACUCAUCUGUUUACCUUGUAUCUAACAGAGUCCUUACAGAGUUGUGGUUUGUAUAUGUUUAUGGUUAUUAUUCUGUUAAAUUUUAGUCUAUAUUACUAUUAUUUGUAUUCUUUUUUUAAUGUAGGGGUAUAUGAGUACAUUAAACUGUCAGUGCAAUGUUUAUUGAUGUCAAGGCCGUAGCCAUAGGAUCAACAUUCAACAUUCUAUUGUAUCUAUCUGGCAUUGAGGGAUGAAUAAAUUACAACCACAACUAAUAAUGAUUGUUUGAUUGUGACAGAAUUAAUUGAAUGAUGUUUUUUGUGACAGAAUUAAAUAAAUAAAUGAAA